This 253-nucleotide ribosomal RNA is filed under the name uncultured bacterium. RNAcentral's name for it is "partial 16S ribosomal RNA". It matches the Rfam family "Bacterial small subunit ribosomal RNA", at positions 524 to 776 of the family's 1533-position model. The record is from RNAcentral.
AACGUAGGAGACAAACGUUAUCCGGAGUUACUGGGCGUAAAGGGCGUGUAGGCGGUUAGUUAAGUCUGGCGUGAAAGCUCUCGGCUAAACCGGGAGAGGUCGUUGGAUACUGGCUGACUAGAGGAUGGUAGAGGCGUGUGGAAUUCCGGGUGUAGUGGUGAAAUGCGUAGAGAUCCGGAGGAACACCAGUGGCGAAGGCGACACGCUGGGCCAUACCUAACGCUAAAGCGCGACAGCAUGGGGAGCAAACGGG